RNAcentral lists this ribosomal RNA (498 nucleotides) under uncultured bacterium. RNAcentral's name for it is "partial 16S ribosomal RNA". It matches the Rfam family "Bacterial small subunit ribosomal RNA", at positions 30 to 523 of the family's 1533-position model. The record is from RNAcentral.
AUUGAGCGCUGGCGGCAUGCCUUACACAUGCAAGUCGAACGGUAACAGGUCUUCGGAUGCUGACGAGUGGCGAACGGGUGAGUAAUACAUCGGAACGUGCCUAGUAGUGGGGGAUAACUACUCGAAAGAGUGGCUAAUACCGCAUGAGAUCUACGGAUGAAAGCAGGGGAUCGCAAGCCCUUGUGCUACUAGAGAGGCAGAUGGCAGAUUAGGUAGUUGGUGGGAUAAAAGCUUACCAAGCCGAAGAUCUGUAGCUGGUCUGAGAGGACGAUCAGCCACACUGGGACUGAGACACGGCCCAGACUCCUACGGGAGGCAGCAGUGGGGAAUUUUGGACAAUGGGCGAAAGCCUGAUCCAGCAAUGCCGCGUGCAGGAUGAAGGCCUUCGGGUUGUAAACUGCUUUUGUACGGAACGAAAAGCCCCGGGUUAAUACCCUGGGGUCAUGACGGUACCGUAAGAAUAAGCACCGGCUAACUACGUGCCAGCCGCCGCCGUAA